GGCCCAUCUCAACUAACAUGAGUUACAGUGGCAAGGAAAAACUUCCUUUUAACAGGCAGAAACCUUGGGCAGGACCAGCCUCAUGCUAGACAGCCACCAUGCCGCUGCUGGGUUGGGGAGGAAUGUAGAGAGAAGAGGGGAGAGGGGGAGAGGACAGGAGGAGGGAGAGAGACAACAAGAUGGGGGAAAGGCGAGAGAGAAUGAGUAUGGAGAGGGAGGGGGAGGGAGAGAGAGUAGGGAACGAGGGUGAGAGAGAGACAGGAGGCAGCAGGAACAACAGCAACAACAACAACAGCUCAUGUAAUGGUGAAACAAAAAGAAGUUCAGUUUACAGGUUUAGGAUAUGAGUGAUAAUGGACAAUGUUGAAUUAAUUGAGUGCGAUUACAGUUAGCAGGCUUAAUCGUAGUCAGUUCUAUUUUGUAUUAUUAAUGUCAAUAAUGACAGUGAGGCUGAUGUCCAUGUCUGCAGUAACACUAACAGUCCAGAGGAAUCAGAGAGAAGAAGGAGCUCAGGGCCGGGGGGGGGUCUGCGGCAACGGUCCAGAGGAGCCAAAGAGCCAAAGAGUUGGAGGAGCUCAGGGCCCAGGGUGGAUGCAGCUGGGGUCAGGCAGUUCCGCAGCAGACCUGUUUGCAGCAUUAGUCCAGUGGCAGCUAAAAGACUCAGAGACACUCAGAGAGACAGAAAACUGGUCAGUGACUUAUAUGGGACAUAAAGAUCUAAAGAGGAGAUAGAGACAGACUCUAGCUCAGUGUGCCAGAUAGCCCCGGCAGUCUAGGCCUGUAGCAGCAUAACUAAGAGCUGGUUCAAAUCAGCCCUGACUAUAGGCUUUAUCAAAGAGGAACGUUUUAAGUCUACUCUUGAAAGUUGAGAGUGUGUCUGCCCCCCGAACCUCGAGCGGUAAAUGAUUCCAGAGGAGAGGUGCCUGGUAGCUGAAAGCUCUUCCUCCAAUACUACUUUUAGAGACAUUUGGUACAACGAGCAGACCUGCAGACUGUGAGCGUAACGGUCUAGAUGGAAAGUACGGUAUAACUAGCUCGUUGAGAUAUGAUGGCGCCUGGCCAUUAAGCGCUUUAUAUGUCACAAGGAGGAUUUUAAACUCAAUUCUAUAUUUAAUAGGGAGCCAGUGAAGAGAGGCUAAAACAGGAGAGAUGUGCUCCCUCCUUCUAGUUCUAGUCAAUACCCGAGCUGCUGCAUUUUGGACCAGCUGAAGAGUCCUUAAUGACUUACUAGAGCAGCCUGAUAGGAGAGAAUUACAGUAAUCCAGCCUAGAGGUAACAAAGGCAUGGACUAG
Non-coding RNA from Xyrichtys novacula (pearly razorfish), 1292 nucleotides. Lineage: Eukaryota; Metazoa; Chordata; Actinopteri; Labriformes; Labridae. The record is from the annotation of a GenBank genome assembly.